GCUUGCACUCACCGAUAAAGAGUUGAGUGGCGAACGGGUGAGUAACACGUGGGCAACCUGCCCAAAAGAGGGGGAUAACACUUGGAAACAGGUGCUAAUACCGCAUAACCAUAGUUACCGCAUGGUAACUAUGUAAAAGGUGGCUAUGCUACCGCUUUUGGAUGGGCCCGCGACGCAUUAGCUAGUUGGUGGGGUAAAGGCUUACCAAGGCAAUGAUGCGUAGCCGAACUGAGAGGUUGAUCGGCCACAUUGGGACUGAGACACGGCCCAAACUCCUACGGGAGGCAGCAGUAGGGAAUCUUCCACAAUGGGCGAAAGCCUGAUGGAGCAACGCCGCGUGGGUGAAGAAGGUCUUCGGAUCGUAAAACCCUGUUGUUAGAGAAGAAAGUGCGUGAGAGUAACUGUUCACGUUUCGACGGUAUCUAACCAGAAAGCCACGGCUAACUACGUGCCAGCAGCCGCGGUAAUACGUAGGUGGCAAGCGUUAUCCGGAUUUAUUGGGCGUAAAGAGAACGCAGGCGGUCUUUUAAGUCUGAUGUGAAAGCCUUCGGCUUAACCGGAGUAGUGCAUUGGAAACUGGGAGACUUGAGUGCAGAAGAGGAGAGUGGAACUCCAUGUGUAGCGGUGAAAUGCGUAGAUAUAUGGAAGAACACCAGUGGCGAAAGCGGCUCUCUGGUCUGUA
RNAcentral lists this ribosomal RNA (682 nucleotides) under uncultured bacterium. RNAcentral's name for it is "bacterial SSU rRNA". It matches the Rfam family "Bacterial small subunit ribosomal RNA", at positions 78 to 738 of the family's 1533-position model. The record is from RNAcentral.